UUUUUUCCAUACUUAGGCGAUUGAUUAGCGGCCCGAAUCGCCCUUUACCUGGAUGAUUCUGUCCUCAAUCGUACGCUUGUCUCUAAAUUAUCCCCUGCCUGUCUUAGUAUAACGCAACUUUGUACUGAUAAACUGCGAAUGGUUCAUUAUUUCAUCUAUAGUUUAUUUGAUGGUUUUUGCUACAUGGAUAACUGUGGUACUUCUAGAGCUAAUAACUGCAUUCUACCCCCAACUUCUGGAAGGGACGUAUUUAUUAGAUGAUACUCCCCUUUGUUGACGAAUCAUCAUAACAUCUCCCACCCCUUGCCCACAUGCUGGCACUGCUUCAUUCCAUAUCUGCCCUAUCAACUGUCCAUGGAACAUAUAGAGGCCUACCAUACCUGCUACUGCCACCGACUAAUAAUGGCUCGAUUCCAGAAAGCCAUCCUAGAAAACGGCCACCACAUCCAAUGAAUGCAGCUAGCUCGCAAAUUACCCACUCCCUCCUUAUCGAAGUAGUGACAAUAUGUCACUCCACCCAGUCUUAUACGUCAUAUACCUCCACCCAUAACAACUUAAAUCACCUAUCAAUCAACCAUUCCUUCCUAUGUCUGGAGCCGGCGACCUCCCCCAUUCCAACUCCAAUAACGUAUAUUGCUCCUCUCGCGGUGAAGCACCUCCUACUUGUACCUUGAACCUGAACCGGGCGACCGCCUCACGGCCAGAACUGACUUGCUGUNUCUUCUCUCUUGGUGAUCUGCUGUUUCGACAGAUAGCAUACCACGAUCUUUACUCUGAAUAAUUAGAGUGUACACAACGGCUCGACUCCUCAAUAUCUAUCACGGACCAUCAUACUUGAUGAGCGAAUCUAUCUUUGUGGAUGCUGUACUCGCGUAAUGACUCAUAGGGACAGACAGUUGCACUACUACUCGCUGCUACAAGUGACACUCACUGAUCUAUGAAGCACUACGUCAUGCAAGCAUUAGCCAAGAGAUCGCAUACCCAUAUCUAGGUCAGGCUACGAAUACGGUAGCUACCGUGCUAGCAUACCGUAUACUUGCGACNANGACUGNUGACUUCUCCNAUGAUCGAUCGCACAUGAAGACUCAAGUUUUGCUCUCGGAGAGACGUCCACGGUAACUGACAAUGACGUUGCCCCCACAUGAACCGCGUUGAUGAAUACCGGNACUGCCGACUGCUCAAUGUCCGUAUGAUU
This 1195-nucleotide ribosomal RNA is filed under the name uncultured eukaryote. Its description in RNAcentral is "bacterial SSU rRNA". It matches the Rfam family "Eukaryotic small subunit ribosomal RNA". The record is from RNAcentral.